Molecule: long non-coding RNA, 211 nt
Filed under: Capsella rubella
Lineage: Eukaryota; Viridiplantae; Streptophyta; Magnoliopsida; Brassicales; Brassicaceae
Description: long non-coding RNA (CRUB_LNC000795)
Source: RNAcentral
AUAAAAUUUGAAAAAGUAGAGUUUAAGAGUUUUAGUUUUGUUUUUAGUUUUGAGAUGUGUUUAUUGGUAGGAUCUUAAGUUGGGUAUCUUAGAUUUUUAUUUUUUUUUAAAAUUAAAUAAAUUUAUAAUUUGUAAUAUAAGAAAAUUAUCUUGUAUUUUCAUGUAUGGCUAAUUUAAUUGGUUUUUUUUAACAUCUAUUCAUCAAAUUCAU